Molecule: long non-coding RNA, 1950 nt
Organism: Panicum hallii
Lineage: Eukaryota; Viridiplantae; Streptophyta; Magnoliopsida; Poales; Poaceae
Exons: 4
Source: RefSeq, a predicted model, not a curated record
UCCUAGCAUGUUCAUCCUGCCAGUAGCAGUGUUCAUGACGGCGAACCCAGAUAGCAGGUGUGGUUCCGGGUUCGCCACGGACAUCGGUGCCCAAUCAGUCGUGGCAGGGCGAGGUCAACGUCCUGGCCUCCUUGGCAGUGCCCCCAAGGCUCGCUGUUCUUCUCAAGCAAUGCAAAUGAUAUGUGGUAGUAGGUAUACGGGGCCAAGUGGCCAAUCAACCGAUGUGUGGUCGCGAUACGAGGUCGACGAUGGCAAGCUGUCUGCAGACUUCACGUCGUCGGAGGCUCGCCGCGCGUUGGUCAUCAGGUAUUCAGGUCGCUUGCUACCACUGAGCACACGAGCCACAAGUAGAGCAGCGCGGCAGAUUCGAUCGAAUUCGCGUGCCGCCGCCGCGCUGCUGUCCAAGCAGGGCAAGCACGGAACCAACUCCGGCCACUCCUGGUGCUCCGGUGGCGGAGCCGAGCCGAGCGGUCGCCGGCGUCGCUGUCGGGCCGACGACGGACCGGCCGGCGAGCGCCUCGCGUUCCCUCUUCCCCUCCGCUGCCCGCUCGCCCGACGGCGACGCGCGGCUGCCUUUAACGCGCGCCGGCCGGCCGGUGCCACCUCGGCGACGUGCCUGUCAGGCGCUCUGUCUGGUUGUGCUGUAUUGCCCAUUUGCCCUGCGCAAGUGGGCGGUCCCGCACGGAGCACGGUCGGCCUCCGGCCUCGUCACGUGGCGCAGGGGUCGGAUACUCGGAUCGGACAGGGAGCUCGGCGACCUGGACAGCAGAAGGGAGGAACAGGAUCGGAAGGAAUCUCUCCGUGGGCACGAGAGUACAGGAUGGAAGCGGCGGUUUCCCCCUUUUUCCUUUAGGCCUUCCAAGCGAUUGAUUGGCCACGGCUGGCAAUUUGGAAUCCUCUGAAUCAGUCCCCACUCCGAGCUCGCUCUGAACUCUGAAGAAGGAAAGGAAGCCUCUGAUGAUCUGAAGUUCUGAACCCUGCCCGCCUGCCCAUCCGCCCAUCUCACGGAGACGGGUCUUUCAUCAUCAGUCACGACGACCCUGCCUGUGUCACCAAGCUGCCCCUCUCGCAUGAUAUCUGAAGCAGCUGGGCUUCUCCUCUAUAUGGAGUUGAGCUGACACAAAACCUGUGCGAUUUUGUCAUUCAUUUGUGGCCAGUAGAGGAAAGAGGGGCAGCAACCGAAUCGGAAUCCAUAUCGCCCUACUAUGGCAAGAGGCUAGCGUACUGUACGGAAGUAAAGUAAACAACUGAAUCAGAGUCCAGAUUCUCCAAGAACCUGGCUGUCCCAUGCUCUGUUGCAGGUAAGUUUUGAUCCCGCUGGAGCCAGCCGAUAUCAUCUGCCGAACCACGGGCAGUCUUCCGAGCACGCUCUACAAGGUUGCACAAGAUAUCAAAGGAACAUAUUAUGUUAUGGAAGACUAUUACAUAUGCUAAAUUUGAUUUUCCAUCCAGUUUUAGUAAAAAAAAAUUGCAUCAGAGAAUGGCAUCCGAGUUCUACUCUCAAAUGUAGAGUUUACUCUUCAGUAUGGGCAAGACAGAUCCACAGCAUGACAAAUUCUAUGAUUAGUGCAAGACUACAUGCAUUGACUCCUUAAUGCGUAGAUUAGGACUUGCAUCAGAAUGAACAAACUAUAAAGAUUCUAGAGCAAACUGUACCCUUGAUGUGAAAAACAUGUGUUUUCCUGAAAAACAGUGAAGCUCCAUUCUGAAAAACAUGUGAAGGCACCAUUUGACUUGUGUUUUCCUGAGAGGGGCUUCCACCGCAACCUGCCUGACCAAGAGAUGAAUUGGUGCCGGCAGACUCUACGGAAGCAGUCUGAACAGAAAGCUUGUCUGCUGCUGUAAAAGAUAUCAGGAGGAAAGAUGGACGAAAAAUCAUAUUGCGAAACCAAUGGACUGAUGUUCCCUCAGGUUCCGUUUCUUCAAAUCUGACUGAUUUUUACGCAUUCA